Molecule: transfer RNA, 75 nt
Filed under: Candidatus Saccharimonadota bacterium
Lineage: Bacteria; Candidatus Saccharimonadota
Also listed under: 1 other name
Description: tRNA-Glu
Rfam family: tRNA
About the family: Transfer RNA (tRNA) molecules are approximately 80 nucleotides in length.
Source: RNAcentral
GGUCUCGUCGUCUAACGGUUAGGACAUCAGGUUUUCAUCCUGACAAUUCGGGUUCGAUUCCCGGCGAGAUCACCA